Molecule: transfer RNA, 85 nt
Filed under: Burkholderiales bacterium
Lineage: Bacteria; Pseudomonadati; Pseudomonadota; Betaproteobacteria; Burkholderiales
Also listed under: 1 other name
Description: tRNA-Leu
Rfam family: tRNA
About the family: Transfer RNA (tRNA) molecules are approximately 80 nucleotides in length. Their secondary structure includes four short double-helical elements and three loops (D, anti-codon, and T loops). Further hydrogen bonds mediate the characteristic L-shaped molecular structure. tRNAs have two regions of fundamental functional importance: the anti-codon, which is responsible for specific mRNA codon recognition, and the 3' end, to which the tRNAs corresponding amino acid is attached (by aminoacyl-tRNA synthetases). tRNAs cope with the degeneracy of the genetic code in two manners: having more than one tRNA (with a specific anti-codon) for a particular amino acid; and 'wobble' base-pairing, i.e. permitting non-standard base-pairing at the 3rd anti-codon position.
Source: RNAcentral
GCCGACGUGGUGAAAUUGGUAGACACGCUGUCUUGAGGGGGCAGUGGCGAAAGCCGUAUCAGUUCGAGUCUGAUCGCCGGCACCA